UGGUGACGAUGGCAAAAGGGUCACACCUGUUCCCAUCCCGAACACAGAAGUUAAGUCUUUUAGCGCCGAUGGUACUUGGGGGGGCAACUCCCUGGGAGAGUAGGACGUCGCCGGGCU
This 117-nucleotide ribosomal RNA is filed under the name Aneurinibacillus soli. Lineage: Bacteria; Bacillati; Bacillota; Bacilli; Caryophanales; Paenibacillaceae. The record is from RNAcentral.